GACGUAGGGCGCAAGCGUUGUCCGGAUUUAUUGGGCGUAAAGAGCUCGUAGGCGGCUUGUUGCGUCGACUGUGAAAUCCCGCGGCUUAACUGCGGGCUUGCAGUUGAUACGGGCAGGCUGGAGUUCGGUAGGGGAGACUGGAAUUCCUGGUGUAGCGGCGAAAUGCGCAGAUAUCAGGAGGAACACCGGUGGCGAAGGCGGGUCUCUGGGCCGAUACUGACACUGAGGAGCGAAAGCGUGGGGAGCGAACAGG
Molecule: ribosomal RNA, 253 nt
Filed under: uncultured bacterium
Lineage: Bacteria
Description: partial 16S ribosomal RNA
Rfam family: Bacterial small subunit ribosomal RNA
Source: RNAcentral